UGGUGGAGAUGUAGCCAUCCAGGCGGACCGUCCCAACUCUCCAGUUUGGUGAGGGGAGGACGGGGGCUGUGGAUGUGGAGGACAGCCGUGUAGCGAUAUGCGCGGAAAAAACCAAGAGGACCCGUUAGAUUAAAAAUAAUGGACGGGGCCGGCGGGACGUCACGAUGCGCCGUCGCCACAAAGCUCAAUACGCCGCUCAUGAACGCGCUCACUUGGUUCCCAGCAUGCCGCACGUCCGGAGGGACCGCUGCUUACCAGGAGCUCAUCCGAGCCCAGUGCAACCCACCCUGCUGCAUCUCAGGAGGAAACAAAACUUAAAGCACCUGAAAUGAAGAUGAGGGCUUCCUCCAACUCCCAGGUGUGUCGGAGGUUGUGUGUGUGUGUGAUGCUGGCAGAGAGCUGUGUUCGCAGGCCUGAGGGGUUGUCUGUUAUCUUUGGUUAUCUAGCUGUAUGAGUGACGUACAUUCUUCAUAAAGCUAGAUAACCGAAAGUAACAAGAAUCCCAUUACACGCCUGCACGGGAGAAGAAAACUAAAUAAAAAAAAGCAGCAGCAGAGAGGAAUGGGCUCGGACAAUGCACGUGAAGAGCUUCUGAUCAGUCUGGAGUUGGGAAUCACCUGAUCUUCGCCUCUCAUCUCUUUGAACUGUGACUUUGAGUCCAGUGAUGUUCAUUUCAGGACUACAUCGUCCACUGACAUACUGGAGGAAAUACACGGAUUCUGUGAAAGCAGCCGUCUCCAACAACUGAACAGCAGACAGAGUUAAAAAUGUCAGGUCUUAAAAGUGGUAAUGGAUACAAAAGGCACUGUUUUCUGAUGCUUCAACAGAACAUCUUUAUCUGAAUGACGACAGAAAGAAACCAGAAGACUUUGAUACAAGUGGACAAACUGACAUUUGGCCGUCAUGAGGCUGAAACUAUGAGAGUAAAGGACGGCAAAGUGGAGUCUGUGUGUGUGUGCAUGUGUGUUUUACACUGUGUUCUUGGGAACUGCUCUGCACAGCUGUUCAGGAAACAUCUGCACUACACAAAUUCAGUCAUUUGAGAUUUAAAAUAUAUUUUUUUUAAAGAAGGGGAAAAAGUUAGAUGACAAAAAUAGUUGCUGUAGUGUUUUGAAUUUGUAGUAUUAUUCAUUAGUUCAACAAUUUAUUCUCCUUUAGAUCAGUAAUUUGUCAUUUCUUCUCACUUAUCUUUUGAAUCCUAUUUGUUUCUAAUUAUUUCAGCUAGCAGUGAAAUUUGUCCAUUUUUCUCAUGUAAAACUUUAGAUGUUUCAGUCAAAUUGUUGACAAUCUGUGUGACUUGAUUACUUGAGACAUUUAAAAUUAUUUUGUUUUAUGGACCUGAUCCAUCAACUAUAAAUUUUAUAUCAGUCCUUGAUGAUCUGACUGUUUUUAGACACAGCACAUUCUUCACAUUUCAUCAUCUCAUAAAUGUAUAUUAGAUUGUUUUGUACAUUUCUGUUUGAAGGCAGUAUAACCUUUGUUCUUCUAGAUAAUUUAUAUAACAUUUUUUCCUAUUUUGUGUACAACAGUAGCUUAAGAUUGGAACAUAAUUUCAUAGCAACUUUUUACACUCUUCAUUAAACUAUUUUUAUUUUCAGUGUAUAUGUUUAAUCAAGAGAGCUACUAUCACUGCAGGAAGUAUUUUUGUGCAAUUAAAACUGCAAUAUGUUUACUUUUUAUCUAUGCAAAAGAAAUGAGUAGGAGGUUUUGUUGGGUUUACACUAUCUGUAUUAGUGUUUGCACAUGAAUUGUGUUGUUACUGUAAGUUUGCUCAUUAAAUGUACAGGUUCAGUUUGUUUCCACAGUCUGAGAGAAAUGUGGUGAAUUGUGAUGUUUUACUAAUAUGCACUAUAUGAGCACAGGUGCAAUGUGUGUGCUAUGUUGCUGUUGAAGUGUGUUUUCUAGUAGAAACAAUGAAUACAGUCCUCGCUAGAAGUGUAGUCUUUCCUUUGGUUUAAUCAGUAAUUACAAUUACUGAUUAAAUCUGGAUUUAUUCCACAUUUCAUUUGUCAAAUCAUCUCCUCUGACAACGUAAUAUUGAAUGCAUAGGAUUUCGUUUUGAUCUAAUGUGGAGAACUUGUGAAUAUGUGCAAUAGAGGCUAUGCAGUUUGAAUACUCUUGAGAGGCAAUGAUAUAAUUGACAAUAUAAUGCACUAUGAUACUGUUUCAGGUGUCUCACAAGCGUGAUUUGCACAUGAGCUGCUGUUAAUGUGCUCGAUCUCUGUACUAUGCAACUGUUUCUACUGCAGUUAAUUUAAUCAAUAAAAGUAUUAAUGUUUACAAUGAGACAA
Molecule: long non-coding RNA, 2291 nt
Organism: Siniperca chuatsi (mandarin fish)
Lineage: Eukaryota; Metazoa; Chordata; Actinopteri; Centrarchiformes; Sinipercidae
Exons: 4
Source: RefSeq, a predicted model, not a curated record